RNAcentral lists this small nuclear RNA (24 nucleotides) under Arabidopsis thaliana (thale cress). Its description in RNAcentral is "snRNA_12592". Lineage: Eukaryota; Viridiplantae; Streptophyta; Magnoliopsida; Brassicales; Brassicaceae. The record is from RNAcentral.
UCUAUUUUAAAAGUGACCAUUGGA